AUGCGUGCGGCAGGCCUAACACAUGCAGUCGAACGGUGACAGAUCCCUCGGGAUGCUGACGAGUGGCGCACGGGUGCGUAACACGUAUGCAAUCUGCCUCUAACUGGAGAAUAGCCCAUGGAAACGUGGAUUAAUACUCCAUAAUAUCACGACAUCGCAUGGUGAUGUGAUUAAAGUUUUGGCGGUUAGAGAUGAGCAUGCGCCCUAUUAGCUAGUUGGUGAGGUAACGGCUCACCAAGGCAACGAUAGGUAGGGGGUCUGAGAGGAUUAUCCCCCACACUGGUACUGAGACACGGACCAGACUCCUACGGGAGGCAGCAGUGAGGAAUAUUGGGCAAUGGACGAAAGUCUGACCCAGCCAUGCCGCGUGCAGGAUGACUGCCCUAUGGGUUGUAAACUGCUUUUAUAUAGGAAGAAACUUUUCUACGUGUAGAAAACUGACGGUACUAUUUGAAUAAGGACCGGCUAACUCCGUGCCAGCAGCCGCGGUAAUACGGAGGGUCCAAGCGUUAUCCGGAUUCAUUGGGUUUAAAGGGUCCGUAGGCGGGCUUUUAAGUCAGAGGUGAAAGCCUACAGCUUAACUGUAGAACUGCCUUUGAUACUGGAAGUCUUGAGUAUAGUUGAAGUGGGCGGAAUACGUCAUGUAGCGGUGAAAUGCAUAGAUAUGACGUAGAACACCGAUUGCGAAGGCAGCUCACUAAGCUAUAACUGACGCUGAGGGACGAAAGCGUGGGGAGCAAACAGGAUUAGAUACCCUGGUAGUCCACGCUGUAAACGAUCAUUACUCGCUGUUGGCAAUACAUCGUCAGCGGCUAAGCGAAAGCGUUAAGUAAUGCACCUGGGGAGUACGUUCGCAAGAAUGAAACUCAAUGAAUUGACGG
Molecule: ribosomal RNA, 881 nt
Filed under: uncultured bacterium
Lineage: Bacteria
Description: bacterial SSU rRNA
Rfam family: Bacterial small subunit ribosomal RNA
Source: RNAcentral